UGGGGAAUAUUGCACAACGGGCGAAAGCCUGAUGCAGCAACGCCGCGUGAGUGAUGAAGGCCUUCGGGUUGUAAAGCUCUGUCUUUUGGGACGAUAAUGACGGUACCAAAGGAGGAAGCCACGGCUAACUACGUGCCAGCAGCCGCGGUAAUACGUAGGUGGCAAGCGUUGUCCGGAUUUACUGGGCGUAAAGGAUGCGUAGGCGGAUUUUUAAGUGAGAUGUGAAAACCCUAAGCUUAACUUGGGGACUGCAUUUCAUACUGGAAAUCUAGAGUGCGGGAGAGGAGAAUGGAAUUCCUAGUGUAGCGGUGAAAUGCGUAGAGAUUAGGAAGAACACCAGUGGCGAAGGCGAUUCUCUGGACCGUAACUGACGCUGAGGCAUGAAAGCGUGGGUAGCAAACAGGAUUAGAUACCCUGAUAGUCCACGCCGUAAACGAUGAGUACUAGGUGUAGGAGGUAUCGACCCCUUCUGUGCCGCAGUUAAACACAAUAAGUACUCCGCCUGGGAAGUACGAUCGCAAGAUUAAAACUCAAAGGAAUUGACGGGGUCAUAGCUG
Molecule: ribosomal RNA, 557 nt
Filed under: uncultured bacterium
Lineage: Bacteria
Description: partial 16S ribosomal RNA
Rfam family: Bacterial small subunit ribosomal RNA
Source: RNAcentral